AACGAACGCUGGCGGCAGGCCUAACACAUGCAAGUCGAGCGCGCCCUUCGGGGUGAGCGGCGGACGGGUGUGUAACGCGUGGGAACGUGCCCUUUUCUACGGAAUAGCCUCGGGAAACUGAGAGUAAUACCGUACACGCCCUUUGGGGGGAUGAUUUCUUGGAAAAGGAUGGUCCGGCGUUGGAUUAGGUGGUUGGUGGGGUAAUGGCCUACCAAGCCGACGAUCCAUAGCUGGGUUGAGAGAAUGAUCAGCCACACUGGGACGGAGACACGGCCCAGACUCCUACGGGAUGCAGCAGUGGGGAAUCGUAGACAAUGGGGGCAACCCUGAUCGAGCCAUGCCGCGUGAGUGAUGAAGGCCUUAGGGUUGUAAAGCGCUGUCAGCUGGGAAGAUAAUGACGGUACCAGCAGAAGAAGCCCCGGCUAACUCCGUG
Molecule: ribosomal RNA, 433 nt
Filed under: uncultured bacterium
Lineage: Bacteria
Description: partial 16S ribosomal RNA
Rfam family: Bacterial small subunit ribosomal RNA
Source: RNAcentral